CCUACGGGUGGCAGCAGUCGAGAAUCAUUCACAAUGGGGGAAACCCUGAUGGUGCGACGCCGCGUGGGGGAAUGAAGGUCUUCGGAUGGUAAACCCCUGUCACGUGGGCGCAAAUUAAAAAGAUAGUACCACAAGAGGAAGAGACGGCUAACUCUGUGCCAGCAGCCGCGGUAAUACAGAGGUAGCAAGCGUUGUCCGGAAUCACGGGGUGUAAAGCGUGCGUAGGCUGCUUCGUAAGGCGUGUGUGAAAGGCGCGGGCUCAACCCGAGGACGGCACAUGGUAUUGCGAGACUAGAGUAGGGGAGGGGGAAGCGGAAUUCUUGGUGUAGCAGUGAAAUGCGUAGAUA
RNAcentral lists this ribosomal RNA (347 nucleotides) under uncultured bacterium. Its description in RNAcentral is "partial 16S ribosomal RNA". It matches the Rfam family "Bacterial small subunit ribosomal RNA", at positions 338 to 696 of the family's 1533-position model. The record is from RNAcentral.